UACGUAGGGUGCAAGCGUUGUUCGGAAUCACUGGGCAUAAAGCGCACGUAGGCGGCGGCGUAAGUUGGAUGUGAAAUCCCCCGGCCCAACCGGGGAACUGCGUCCAGUACUGCGUUGCUUGAGGAUCCAAGGGGUGCAUGGAAUUCCCGGUGGAGCGGUGAAAUGCGUUGAUAUCGGGAGGAACUCCGGCGGCGAAAGCGGUGCACUGGUGGAUUACUGACGCUGAGGUGCGAAAGCCAGGGGAGCAAACGGG
RNAcentral lists this ribosomal RNA (253 nucleotides) under uncultured bacterium. RNAcentral's name for it is "partial 16S ribosomal RNA". It matches the Rfam family "Bacterial small subunit ribosomal RNA", at positions 524 to 776 of the family's 1533-position model. The record is from RNAcentral.